RNAcentral lists this ribosomal RNA (462 nucleotides) under uncultured bacterium. RNAcentral's name for it is "bacterial SSU rRNA". It matches the Rfam family "Bacterial small subunit ribosomal RNA", at positions 51 to 529 of the family's 1533-position model. The record is from RNAcentral.
ACACAUGCAAGUCGAACGCGAAAGCCCGCAAGGGUGAGUAGAGUGGCGCACGGGUGAGUAACACGUGGACAACCUGCCUUCGAGUGGGGAAUAACCUUCCGAAAGGAGGGCUAAUACCGCAUAACACCUCGGGACACAAGUUCUGGGGUUGAAAAGAGCAAUUUGCUCGAAGAGGGGUCCGCGCCUGAUUAGCUAGUUGGUGAGGUAACGGCUCACCAAGGCUUCGAUCAGUAGCCGUCCUGAGAGGGAGCACGGCCACACUGGAACUGAGACACGGUCCAGACUCCUACGGGAGGCAGCAGUGGGGAAUUUUUGGCAAUGGGCGAAAGCCUGACCAAGCAACGCCGCGUGGGUGAUGAAGUAUCUUGGUACGUAAAACCCUUUCGGCAGGGACGAACCUAAUGACGGUACCUGCGGAAGAAGCCCCGGCUAACUCCGUGCCAGCCGCCGCCGUAAAACUGA